AUAGAAGUAUUGCAUGCAUCAAGACCUUUAAGUUGGGAAAAAGAAGAAUUGAUGACUAAUUUCCGACUUUCACUCCAUAUAUCAAAUGAUGAACAUUUGCUGGAACUCUGAAACUUGGUUUCUGCAGAUACCAGCGGACAACUUAGAUGACAGGAAAUAUUUUUGCCUUGAAAUUUUCCAUCUAGCUUAGAAUGGGAUUAGUUUUUUCUCCAGAAACUUGCUGCAUUAUACCUCGAUUACUCUCUGUGUUGUGAGGAAGCUAUGUCAUGCUAUCUUGUUACAUAAGAAUUUCUAAAGGACCACAUCCUUUAUACAAAUUGGUAAACCAUACCAAUUUGGCUCUAUAAAACUCUCAAAAUGGUUUAUACAUGAUACCAGAGAAUCAGAAAAAAUAAAAUAAAAAUAAUCAACUUUUUAGGCUUUGAAUGAUGCAUG
This is a long non-coding RNA of Humulus lupulus (European hop), 435 nucleotides long. RefSeq lists it as uncharacterized. Lineage: Eukaryota; Viridiplantae; Streptophyta; Magnoliopsida; Rosales; Cannabaceae. The record is from RefSeq and is a predicted model, not a curated record. The transcript has 2 exons.